This is a non-coding RNA of Gossypium arboreum, 79 nucleotides long. The record is from Rfam. Lineage: Eukaryota; Viridiplantae; Streptophyta; Magnoliopsida; Malvales; Malvaceae.
GGAUCCAUAAGCUCAAAACCGGCAGAGCGCUCAAACAUUGUUGUUUGGGAGGCUGGUGGUUCGAAUCCACCUGGAUCCU